AGGACUAAAUCCCCCACGCUUGUGGUAAAACUCGACUUUUCUCAAGCUUUUGACUCUGUUUGUUGGCCCUCUCUCCUCUCCAUCCUUCGGGCUAGGGGCUUCUCUAACAAAUGGCUAGAUUGGAUUAACACAAUAUUCCACACUGGCAAGAAAACUGUUCUCCUCAGUGGAUCUCCAGGCCCUUGGAUCCAAUGUAAGAACGGUCCUAGACAAGGGGACCCGCUUUCCCCCUUCCUCUUCAUCAUAGUUGCAAAUGUUCUCCAAUGA
RNAcentral lists this ribosomal RNA (267 nucleotides) under Triticum aestivum (bread wheat). Its description in RNAcentral is "partial small subunit ribosomal RNA". Lineage: Eukaryota; Viridiplantae; Streptophyta; Magnoliopsida; Poales; Poaceae. The record is from RNAcentral.